RNAcentral lists this long non-coding RNA (280 nucleotides) under Vigna radiata. RNAcentral's name for it is "long non-coding RNA (VRAD_LNC003840)". The record is from RNAcentral. Lineage: Eukaryota; Viridiplantae; Streptophyta; Magnoliopsida; Fabales; Fabaceae.
UGAGAAUGUUUGCGGAAGUUGGUAGGGGAAGAGACUAAGAGUCUCGAUUUUGGUGCUAUUUAUGGGUGAUGAAGGUGGUGUUUGUCGUGCUCUAAAGUUAAACCAACUCUAAGAGGAAGGUGACUAGAGGGGCCUCAUGGGUUGCUCUAGUCUUGAUCUUAAGAUGAGUAGUAUGACAACAAAUGGGCAACAUAACUUUACUCAACAUCAAAUAUGAUUACGAGAGAGAAGACACCUUUAUAUAUAGGCAAAGGUGUCUCCUAAAAACCUUAAAAGCAUG